AGCGAACGCUGGCGGCAGGCCUAACACAUGCAAGUCGAACGAACUCUUCGGAGUUAGUGGCGGACGGGUGAGUAACACGUGGGAACGUGCCUUUUGGUUCGGAAUAACUCAGGGAAACUUGUGCUAAUACCGAAUGUGCCCUUCGGGGGAAAGAUUUAUCGCCAUUAGAGCGGCCCGCGUCUGAUUAGCUAGUUGGUGAGGUAACGGCUCACCAAGGCGACGAUCAGUAGCUGGUCCGAGAGGAUGACCAGCCACACUGGGACUGAGACACGGCCCAGACUCCUACGGGAGGCAGCAGUGGGGAAUCUUGCGCAAUGGGCGAAAGCCUGACGCAGCCAUGCCGCGUGAAUGAUGAAGGUCUUAGGAUUGUAAAAUUCUUUCACCGGGGACGAUAAUGACGGUACCCGGAGAAGAAGCCCCGGCUAACUUCGUG
Molecule: ribosomal RNA, 433 nt
Filed under: uncultured bacterium
Lineage: Bacteria
Description: partial 16S ribosomal RNA
Rfam family: Bacterial small subunit ribosomal RNA
Source: RNAcentral